Molecule: ribosomal RNA, 360 nt
Filed under: Triticum aestivum (bread wheat)
Lineage: Eukaryota; Viridiplantae; Streptophyta; Magnoliopsida; Poales; Poaceae
Description: partial small subunit ribosomal RNA
Source: RNAcentral
AUGUCGUCGUCGGUGAUGGAGGAGGCCUCCUACUUCUCGUUGGGGCCGGAGCUGGCCAUGGUUGAAGGAGGUGGGGCAGAAUUUGCUUUGGAAACAAAGAGAAGGGGCGCUGGAGCUCUGAGGAUCUACGUGAGCGGGAGGUGGACGGAGGCGUGGGAUGUUGGCUGUGCUAGCUCCUCCCUUUAUAGACUGUUGAUAGGCCUGGGAUUCCUUUUUCCACCCUGUUGGCUUCUCCACUUCCCGAUAUGGCCACGACGUUAUGAGCAGAGAGGGGAAUCGAAAUCAAUGACCGUAUCCCCCGAAAAGCAGGACGCCAUCUCCACCUUGAGGGGACGUAUUGAACGUGGCGUUGGCCUCUAG